UCCCCUAGGGCUCAUCUAAGGCCUAAGAUGGCGGCGUUUGCAUAGGGUGUAAGCCCUGCAGGCGUACGACAUGUGGAAAGGCGGCCAAAGGACGAAUCUGCUAAGGAAUGUUCAGGAACUCGCCGAUAUUUGUGUUGUGAUUUUUUAAAACUUUAAAUAGUACAGUUGAAGCCACCCCUUCAUCACAUGCCACAAUGGUCUUGCUGUGGAUUACAGUGUUCAUUCUUAUGAAGAACCCAAAAAAUGUAACACAUUCUCUAGAGAAAAGAAGAUUCCAACUCUAAGUGAUAUGGAACCACACCCUCACUAUCUCAGAAGUAUGCCUGCAAUUGGACUUUAUUUGACUUACAAAUGUGCACCAUAGUGUGGAAUUGUGGACCAACCAAUUCCACACAAAGAUACUACAGAGUCCAGAAAUUCGGACAUCUUUAAAGUGCUGAAGCUUUCUCUCUCUGAGAAUCUUUAUCUCCUACUCCACAACGUGAAGCAAAGCUUCAGUGAAAGCUGACUCCAUGGGGUGCUUAAUUCCUCAAGGUUCCUCCACCUGGUCCUUGCAUGCAGUCAAGUCAGCUUCAUCUCCUUGGCCAGAGCCUAAAUAUCAUCAAGAGGUCGAAGCUUUGGGUCUUCUCAUGUAUUAUCUGAGCAUACAUCCAACUGACUAGCGAACUCUGGCGUUUGAAUUCCUCAACCAGAAGUCAAGUCGGAGGCACUGGGAAGGGAGCACUGAGUCAAGGAUGCUAGACCACUAGAGAGUCCUCAGUCACAGGGAAUAUUCACUGCAGAGAAAUCUCACAGAGGCCUCUAUCAGAGUCUAAGACCAGCUUCACCCAACUGCCUGCAACUGCCAGUGCUUGAUACCUCACACCAAACUACAAACAAGACAGGAACACAAACCCAUACAACAGCACACAGACUACCUAAAGCCAUGUUAAGCUCACAGAUACCGUAAAACAAACCACCUGACAUGGCCCUGCUCAUCAGAGGGAAAAGACUCAGAUCCACACACCAGAAAGCAGGCACCAGACCCUCCCAUCAGGAAGCCUACUCAAGACACUGGACCAACCCCAUCACAGGGGGCAGAGAACAAAAACAAGAGGAAUUACUACUAGGCAGCAUAGGGAAAGGAGAGAGCAAAUACUGUAAAUUAGACAAAAUGAGAAAACAAAGAAAUACCUUGCAGGCAAAGGAGCAAGAUAAAAACCCACAAGACCAAAUAAAUGAAGAGGAAAUAGGAAAAUUGCCUGAAAAAGAAUUCAGUGUAAUGAUGGUAAAGAUGAUCCAUAUUCUCAAAAAAAUAAAAUAGACAAAAUACAAGAAACAUUUAAUGAGAUCUUAGAACUACAGAGCAAAGAAAUAGUAAUGAACAAUACAAUAACUGAAAUUAAAAACACUCUAGAUGGUAUAAACAGCAGAAUAACUGAGGCAGAAGAAUAAGUAAGUGAGUUGGAAGAUAGAAGGGUGGAAAUAACUGCCACAGAGCAGGAAAAAGAAAAAAGAAAAAAAUAGAAUGGAAGACAGUCUCAGAUACCUCGGGGAAAACAUUAAGCGCACCAACAUUCGAUUCAUAGGCAUCCCAGAAGAAGAGGAAAAAAAGAAAGGGUCUGAGAAAAUAUUUGAAGAGAUUACUGUGGAAAACUUUCCCAAUAUGGGAAAGGAAAUAGCCAGUAAAGUUCCAGAAGCAUGGAGAAUCCUAUACAGAAUAAACCCAAGGAGAAACACACUGAGGCACAUAUUAAUGAAAAUAUUGAAAAUUAAACACAAAGGAAAAAUAUGAAAAGAAGCAAGAGAAAAGCAACAAAUAACAUAUAAGGGAAAACCCAUAAGGAUAACAGCUGAUCUUUCUGCAGAAACUCUGCAGGCCACAAGGGAGGGACAGAAAAUACUUAAAUCUUGGUAGAGAAAAACCUACAGCCAAGAACACUCUACCCAGCAAGAAUCUCAUUAAGAUUAGACAGAGAAAUCAAAAGCUUCACAGACAAGCAAAAGUUAAGAGAAUUCAGCACCACUAAACCAGCCUUACAAAAAUUGCUAAAGGAAUGUCCUUAGGCAGGAAACACAAGAAAGGGAAAAGACCUACAAAAACAAACCCAAAACAAUUAAGAAAAUGGUAAUAGGAACAUACAUGUCAAUAAUUACCUUAAAUGUAAAUGGAUUAAAUGCUCCAACCAAAAGACAGAGACUGGCUGAAAGGAUACAAAAACAAGACCCGUAUAUAUGCUGUCUACAAGAAACCCACUUCAGCCCUAGGGACACAUGCAGACUGAAAGUAAAGGGAUGGAAAAAGAUAUUCCAUGCAAAUUAAAUUCAAAAGAAAGCUGGAAUAGCAAUACUCAUAUCAGACACAUUAGACUUUAAAGACUAUUACAAGAGACAAGGAAGGACCCUACAUAAUGAUCAAGGGAUCAAUCCAAGAAGAAGAUAGAACAAUUGCAAAUAUCUCUGCACCCAACAUAGGAGCACCUCAAUACAUAAGGCAAAUGCUAACAGCCAUAAAAGGGGACAUCAACAGUAACACAAUAAGAGUAGCAGAUUUUAACACCCCACUUACAUCAAUAGACAGAUCAUCCAAACAGAAACUAAAUAAGAAAACACAAGCUUUAAAUGACACAUUACACCAUCUCGACUUAAUUGAUAUUUAUAGGACAUUCCAUCCAAAAAUGACAGAAAACACUUUCUUCUCAAGUGCACACAGAACAUUCUCCAGGAUAGAUCACAUCUUGGGUCACAAAUCAAGCCUCAGUAAAUUCAAGAAAAUUGAAAUCAUAUCAAGCAUCUUCUCUGACCACAAUGCCAUGAGACUAGAUAUCAAUUACAAGAGAAAAAGAUUGCAAAAAAUACAAACACGUGGGAGCUAAACAAUACACUAUUAAACAACCAAGAAAUCAUUGAAGAAAUCAAAGUGGAAAUCAAAAGAUACCUAGAAACAAAUGACAAUGAAAACACAACAACCCAAAACCUAUGGGUUACAGCAAAAGCAGUUCUAAGAGGGAAGUGUAUAGCAAAACAAUUCUACCUCAAGAAAGAAGAAAAAUCUUGAAUAAACAACGUAAGCUUACACCUAAAACAAUUAGAAAAAGAACAACAAAAAAAAUACUUAAAGUGAGCAGAAGGAAAGAAAUCAUAAAGACUAGAUCAGAAAUAAAUGAAAAAGAAAUGAAGGAAACAAUAGCAAAAAUUAAUAAAACUAAAAGCUGGUUCUUUGAGAAGAUAAAGAAAAUUGAUAAACCAUUAGCCAGACUCAUCAGGAAAAAAAGGGAGAAAACACAAAUCAACAGAAUUAGAAAUGAAAAAGGAGACGUAACAACCGACACUGCAGAAAUAUAAAAGAUCAUGAGAGCCUACUUCAAGCAAGUCUAUGCCAAUAAGUUGGAUAACAUAGGAGACAUGGAUAAAUUCUUAGAAAAGUACAACCUUCCAAGACUGAACCAGGAAGAAAUAGAAAAUCGCAACAGAACAAUCGCAAGUACUGAAGUUGAGACUGUGAUUAAAAAUCUCCCAGCAGACAAAAGCCAAGGGCCAGAUGGCUUCACUGGCAAAUUCUAUCAAACAUUUAGAGAAGAGCUAACACCUAUCCUUCUCAAACUCUUCCAAAAUAUAGCAGAAGAAGGAAGACUCCCAAACUCAUUCUCCAAGACCACCAUCACCCUGAUACCAAAACCAGGCAAAGACGUCACCAAAAAAGAAAAUUAGAGGCCAAUAUCACUGAUGAAUAUAGAUGCAAAAAUCCUGAACAAAAUUCUAGCAAACAGAAUCCAACAGCAUAUUAAAAAGAUCAUACAUCAUGAUCAAGUGGGGUUUAUCCCUGGAAUGCAAGGAUUCUUCAAUAUACACAAAUCAAUCAAUGUGAUACAUCAUAUUAACAAAUUGAAGGAUAAAACCAUAUGAUCAUCUCAAUAGAUGCAGAACAAUCUUUUGACAAAAUUCAACAUCUGUUUAUGAUAAUAAGAAAAACUCUCCAGAAAAUGUGCAUAGAAUGAAAUUAUCUCAGCACAAUGAAAGCCAUAUAUGAUAAAUCAACAACCAGCAUCAUUCUCAAUGGGGAAAAACUGAAAGCAUUCCCUCUAAGAACAGGAACAAGACAAGGCUGCCCACUCUCACUACUGUUAUUCAACAUAGUUUUGGAAGUGUCAUCCACAGAACUCAUAGAAGAAAAUGAAAUAAAAGAAUCCAAAUUGGAAAAGAAGAAGUAAAAUUGUCACUCUUUGCAGAUGAUAUAUUUUCCAUAGAAAACCCUAAAGAUGCUACCAGAAAACUGCUAGCACUAAUCCAUGAUUUUAGUAAAUAGCAGGAUACAAAAUUAAUGCACAGAAAUCUCUUGCAUUCCUAUACACUAACAACAGAAGAGCAGAAAGGGAAAUUAAGGAGACACUCCCAUUUACCAUUGCAGCAAAAAGAAUAAAAUACCUAGGAAUAAACCUGCCUACGGAGGCAAAAGACCUGUAUCCAGUAAACUAUGUCACUGAUGAAAGACAUCAGAGACAAUACAAACAGAUGGAGAGACAUACCAUGUUCUUGGAUUGAAAGAAUCAACAUUGUGAAAAUGAGUAUCCUACUCAAAGCAAUUUACAGAUUCAAUGCAAUCCCUAUCAAAUUACCAAUGGCAUUUUUCACAGAGCUAGAACAAGAAAUUUUACGAUUUGUAUGGAAAUACAGAAGACCCCGAAUAGCCAAAGCAAUCUUGAGAAGGAAAGACGGAGAUGGAGGAAUCAGACUCCCUGACUUCAAAGGCUACAGUGAUCAAGACAGUAUGGCACUGGCACAAAAACAGAAAUACAGAUUAAUGGAACAGAAUACAGAGCCCAGAGAUAAACCCAUGCUCAUAUGGGCACUUUAACUUUGACAAAGGAGGCAAGAAUAUACAAUGGAAAAAAAGUCUCUUCAAUAAGUGGUGCUGGGAACAUUGGACAGCUACAUGUAAAAGAAUGAAAUUAGAACACUUCCUAACACCGUACACAAAAAUAAACUCAAAAUGGAUUAAAGACCUACAUGUAAGGCCAGACACUAUAAAACUCCUAGAGGAAAACAUAGGAAGAACACUCUAUGACAUAAAUCAAAGCAAGAUCCUAGAAUAAUGAAAAUAAAAUAAAAAAUAAACAAAUGGGACAAUGAAACUUUAAAGUUUUUGCACAGCAAAAGAAGCCAUAAACAAGACUAGAAGACAACCCUCAGAAUGGGAGAAAAUAUUUGUCCAUGAAGCAAUGGACAAAGGAUUAAUCUCCAAAAUAUACAAGCGGCUCAUACAGCUUAAUACCAAAAAAGCAAAUAAACCAAUCCGCAAAUGGGCAGAAGACCUAAAUAGACAUUUCUCCAAAGAAGACAUGCAGAUGGCUAACAAACACAUGAAAAGAUGCUCAACAUCAUUAAUCAUUAGACAAAUACAAGUCAAAGCCACAAUGAGGUAUCACCUCACACCAAUCAGAAUAGUUAUCAUCAAAAAAUCUAGAAACAAUAUAUGCUGGAGAGGGUGUGGAGAAAAGGGAACCCUCCUGCACUGUUGGUGGGAAUGUAAGCUGGUACAGCCACUAUGGAACACAGUAUGGAGGUUCCUUAAAAAACUAAAAAUAGAACUACCAUAUGACCCAGCAACCCCACUUCUGGGCAUAUACCCUGAUAAAACCAUAAUUCAAAACGAAACAUGUACCACAAUAUACAUUGCAGCACUAUUUACAAUAGCCAGGACAUGGAAGCAACCUAAAUACCCAUCAACAGAUGAAUGGAUAAAGAAGAUGUGGCACAUAUUUACAAUGGAAUAUUACUCAGCCAUAAAAACGAAUGAUAUUGAGUUAUUUGUAGUGAAGUGGAUGGAACUAGAGUCUGUCAUACAGAACAAAGUAAGGCAGAAAGAGAAAAACAAACACCCUUCGCUAACGUAUAUAUAUGGAAUCUAAAACAAUGGUACUGAUGAACCCAGUGACAGGGCAAGAAUAAAGAUGCAGAUGUAGAGAAUGGACUUGAGGACACAGGGUUGGGGUGGGGGGUGGCGAAGGGGAAGCUGGGAUGAAGUGAGAGAGUAGCAUUUACAUAUAUACACCGCCGAAUGUAAAAUAGAUAUCUAGUGGGAGGCUGCGGCAUAAUACAGGGAGAUCAACUCAAUGA
This is a long non-coding RNA of Hippopotamus amphibius kiboko, 6096 nucleotides long. RefSeq lists it as uncharacterized. The record is from RefSeq and is a predicted model, not a curated record. Lineage: Eukaryota; Metazoa; Chordata; Mammalia; Artiodactyla; Hippopotamidae. The transcript is spliced from 8 exons.